Long non-coding RNA from Nymphaea colorata (pocket water lily), 1148 nucleotides. RefSeq lists it as uncharacterized. The transcript has 3 exons. Lineage: Eukaryota; Viridiplantae; Streptophyta; Magnoliopsida; Nymphaeales; Nymphaeaceae. The record is from RefSeq and is a predicted model, not a curated record.
GUAAGUUGCAGCUUUUUCUUAUUCAGUAUGAAUAACUGAUGUGCCGGCAGCACCCAUUUUCUACGGAGUGCUAGUCAACAUAUGUGCUGGAAUGCAUGUGAACCUUAGGAGUUAUGAGAGGCGAACAGAGGGAGAGGAGACAGAAAAAGAGGAAAAGAUUCAAAAGAUCAGUUUAUGGGCAAUAUCAGAAUUUGACAGCUGGUUCACUCUUUUAUGUGAUAUUGAAGUUCAGACUUGUGUGUGGAUCCAACAGUUAAGUGCCUCUGUAUCCAUUGUAAGAAUUUUUUUGCUUUCUUAUUAUUGCUUGCUAGCUAGUAAUCUGGUGAUGAAGCCCAUCAAUGUUGUUAAAUGGGAUGAGGCGAAGGGAAGCGUUGAGCUUGUCAAGUGAGGUGGAAUGAAGCGUAAGCUUGAAGACAAAUUCAUAAAGUAUGUAUAUUUAUCACAAUACCUUCUAUGUGCACAUACGGAUAUGAUUUCCAAGUCUUCAUAUCUUAUCUUGGUAAGACAAGCCCGACGUAGAGAUCCCAUUUAUAUUUUUUAUUUAAUUCAAAUUUAAUGUUUUAAAGACCAACAAUGUUUUUUAAAUUUGGGAGCAAAAUAAUCAACUUUUUUUGGGCAUCGAUCGCAAGCACCGUUUCAGAAAAACAAAAUUUUGGCAUGUAAGAAAAAAAAAAAGAAAUAUUGAGAGACUCGUGCCACCAACCCAAAGGACCCAAGGCAGCAAACUUACUGGAUGAUGUAUUGUAUUAAAUGUAUAUUGUGCCAGUUAAAAAAAAAAAGGUUAACCACAAUUUUCUUUUUUCAACUGCAAUUAAGGGAGGGAUGGUCGCUUCGUCUCCCAUUUAGGAAGUCACGGAUACGUGGCGAAACGCUUUCCCACGUGGCCAGGGCAUUCCAUUUCAUGACUUUCUUUGUUCGAAGUGGUUUCGAAAUGUUAACAGACAGACGCCCUUUCUGUCGUUCUACUGUGCCAUCAACCUCCGUUUCGCCGUUCUCCGGCUCCUUUCCACCGUUCCUCCAGAAGCGACCGUCCAGCAAGGUUUCGCUUCAAGGAUUCGCAGCUUGCAGGCCUUGGUUUUAGCUUUUUUCUUACCUCGUUGGUACUGUUCCUCAAAAUUUUUCUGCGCUCCCUCGUCUCACAUUGAACU